Molecule: ribosomal RNA, 253 nt
Filed under: uncultured bacterium
Lineage: Bacteria
Description: partial 16S ribosomal RNA
Rfam family: Bacterial small subunit ribosomal RNA
Source: RNAcentral
UACGGAGGGUGCAAGCGUUGUCCGGAUUUAUUGGGUUUAAAGGGUGCGUAGGUGGCCUGUUAAGUCUGCUCUGAAAGUUGGUCGCUUAACGAUCAAGGGUGGGUGGAUACUGGCGGGCUUGGAUCAGGUGGCGGUUUCUGGAACGGGUCGUGUAGCGGUGAAAUGCAUAGAUAUGACCCAGAACUCCGAUUGCGAAGGCAGGAGGCUACGCCUGGAUUGACACUGAGGCACGAGAGCAUGGGGAGCAAACAGG